CUCCACGUCAAGGUUGCUGGAG
This 22-nucleotide non-coding RNA is filed under the name Arabidopsis thaliana (thale cress). Lineage: Eukaryota; Viridiplantae; Streptophyta; Magnoliopsida; Brassicales; Brassicaceae. The record is from RNAcentral.